UCACAAAAUGUACAUGAGGUCUAGUCCAACCAAAAAGAGUUUCAAAUUUGAGUCUUAUAUGAAAUUUUUUUCCAUCACAUCCUAUGCUUCCUUAGCCUUUCUCGUUAUAAUUUUUGUCGGGCUUAGUGGCCACUGAAAGUUGUCCUCAUGAAUAUCAUGGUUGCUCCAAUACCAUAAUAGACAGAUGGUAAACAUAAAUAUAAUAGACCAAGGAACACCAUUGAUAUUUGCACUGCUUGUGAUAAUUAUCAUUAGCCAAGCAUUUAAAAGCAAUAUGAAAAAAUCAUCUUUGUUGCUAGGAAGUAGUAUGCACCAAAUAUCCUUCAAUUGUUGGCAAUCUCUCAAACCAUGUCAGAUAUCUUCUCUACUUCUAGAGCCUCUAUGGCAAGUUUCACUAACUGAUAAGUGCCGGGGCAACUAAGAAUGCUUUUGUACAAAUAGUUUCAUGCAUGAUUUUCCAAACGAAUACCUUCAACUUACUAGGGCACUUCAAAGAACAAAUUUUACAUAGUCCUUAUUAGGAAAAACGUUUAGAAUCUACAAUUCAUAGGCAGACUUUACCGAAAAUUGACCAUCAAAAGUCCUCGACUAGAAAAUUGAAUAUCAACGGUGCUGUGAUGAUAGAUCCAUUUAGUUGUUAAAAUGAAAAUAAUUUCCUCUGAUGAAACAUUGGAUAAAGCAGUAAAGCCCCACUACCAUCCUUUAAACAAUAGUCUACAACAGGUAGUUUUGCUUCAACAACAGUAAUGGUCUGUAUAGCACAGAAUAGCAAGGUAUUACAAGAAAGCCAAUGAUCUAACCAAAACUUUGUAUUUCUCUCACUGGACACAUUCAUUCUCAAACCUUGUCAAAGAACAUUCCUACCCUUUGAAAUGCUUCUCCAAGUGUAAGAUGAAACACUUCUCAAACUAACUAAAAGAAAGUCAAUUCGUUUUAUAUACUUGGCUUCCAAAACUUCAUCGCAAAGCAUAUCAAAGUCAUUCAUAAUAAGCCAUCCUAGCUUCGCCAAAUAAGCAAGAUUGGCUUUCCUAGUGUCCUUUAUAUUCAAACCUUCAUGCUUCUUGGGCAAGCAAAUCUUUUCUCAAUUCACUAUUUAGCUUUUUUACCCCAUCCAUCUCUCCCCAAACAAAUUUGCGCAUUAGCUUGUCUAUUUCAUCAACAAUAUAGUACGACAGAUAAGUUGUUUGCAUCAAAUAACUUGGCAUUGUAGAAAGUAUCGACUGCACCAGAGUAAGUUCACCUGCUAAGGAUAAACUUUUGUUCUCUCAUACUAAUAGGUGUCCUUGAAUUUUGCCGAUGAUAUCUUCAUAUGUCAUCUUGGUGACUUGACCAUGAAUCAGAGGUGCUCCCAAAUAUUUUCCAAAGUCCUUGGUUAGAUGAAUUUGACAAAAGUUGCUAAGUUUCGUUGCUUGAUCAUGGGAUAUAUUUGAAGAUACUAGAAGCCUUGAUUUGCUGAGGCUUACCUUCUCUCUAGAGUUAUCACAAAAUACUUUCAUAACAUUCAUCAUUACCUCUACCUGCUUUUGAGUAGCAACUCCAAAUAACAUUAAAUCAUCCAUGAAACAGAUAUGUGUAAGAACAAAUCCAUGCCUAGUAAUCAUGAAUAGUUUUCAACUUCCUUUCUUCACCUCAUUAUUAAUCCAAUGAGACAACUUCUCCAAACACAAGACAAAUAAGUAAGGUGAGAGUUCUCCAUGAUGUAUUCCCCUCGUUGGAUUGAAAUAAGGAAGACACUUUCUAUUCUAUAAAACUGCAAAAGAAGUAGAUUUCACCAUGAACAUUAUAAGUGUCACCCAUGAAUCAAGAAGACCGAUUUCCUCAAGAACUGACUGUAAAAGUGUCUAUUUCAAUUUAUCAUAAGCCUUCUCCAAGUCUAUUUUAAUAGCAACAACCCUUUUUUUACGCUUCAAAGUUCUCAUUGAGUGCAAAAUUUCUUGAACUACAAUAAUAUUAUCAAUUGUGUGCCUCCUAGGAACAAAGCUUGAUUGUGUUUUACCAAUGAGUCUAGUCAGUAGAGGUCUUAUUCUCUCGACUAAGACUUUGCUUACUAGUUCUAAUGAAAUUGAACACAAACUAAUAGGAUAAAUUGGCUAAUAUAUCCCGGCCCCUCCACCUUAGGAAUCAAGGUAAUUGACGUCCUAUCGAGUUCACCUUUCUUCAAAGCUUCAGUAACAUUGAGUGUCAAAUACCUUUCAACCACAUUCCAAGCUUUUUUUGGGAGGAGGGGGAGGAGGAGGGGGAAACAAAAGCAGGAUAACCAUCAACCCUAGAACUUUUAUUAGGAUUUAUUGUGUAAAGUGCCAUUUUAACUUCAGCAGUCGAAACCUCUUUGCUUAACAUUAUGCAUUAUUGAUCAUUCAAACUCCAAUUUUCUUCAAGCUUUAGUGAAUAAGUGUUGAUCACUAAAUCAUCUUUAUAAAGUUGAAAAACCCCACAACUAUAUUUUUUAAAUCCCCCACAUCCUCACACCAAGUGUCCUUAUCUUUCUUCAUCAUUAAAAUGCUUUUCCUAUAUUCCCUGCCUCAAAGAACAUUAUGAAAAAAAUUUGUGUUGCUAUCUCCCAAUUUGAGUCAAUCCACUUGUGUUUUUUUCCUCAACAAAGUCUCCUCUUGAAAACAGACCAAGUUAUAUUUUUCUACCAAUAUAACUUUGAAGUUUUUUAAAAAGUUGUUGGAUCCAUUAUCUAAUCGUUUCUGAAUCCCAUUCAACCUUGCAAGAAGUCUUCUCCUUUUCAUAUAAAUAUCUCCAAACUCCUUUUUACUCUAGAUUUUCAAAGAAUUUCCAAGAGAAUUCGAAGUUGAGGACAUAUCAUCAUUCCUGUAAUGUCAAUUCCGUUUCACCUUUUCCAAAAAAUCGUUAUGUAACAUCCAUGCA
This 2874-nucleotide long non-coding RNA is filed under the name Olea europaea subsp. europaea. Lineage: Eukaryota; Viridiplantae; Streptophyta; Magnoliopsida; Lamiales; Oleaceae. The record is from RNAcentral.